This is a long non-coding RNA of Astyanax mexicanus (Mexican tetra), 1179 nucleotides long. RefSeq lists it as uncharacterized. The record is from RefSeq and is a predicted model, not a curated record. The transcript has 2 exons. Lineage: Eukaryota; Metazoa; Chordata; Actinopteri; Characiformes; Acestrorhamphidae.
AAUAAUUAAUUUAUUUUCGGAUUCUAAAAGUAAAUAAGUUUUUGCCUGUUGACACACUAACAAUGUUAACAACAGUGAAAAUAUGCCAGACGUUUUAAAUGUAAAUUUUACUCAGUAAAUUGUGGAGUGUACUGUAAUGAUAAGUUUUCAUCUGACAUAUAAUUGACUUUAAAUUAUUUAUUGUGGCUUUAAGCUCAAAAAGAGUUACUAAUUACUUCCUUUUUUAAUUGUAAAGGAUCAAGAAAGCCGUGGCGUUACAAGAAAGCACUUGUCCCGAAAGUCCUUCUCCAAACUGACUCUGUUGAGAAAACGGCACCAAACUAACUCUGUUGAGAAAACGGCACCAAACUAACUCUGUUGAGAAAACGGCACCAAACUGACUCUGUUGAGAAAACGGCACCAAACUGACUCUGUUGAGAAAACGGCACCAAACUGACUCUGUUGAGAAAACGGCACCAAACUGACUCUGUUGAGAAAACGGCACCAAACUAACUCUGUUGAGAAAACGGCACCAAACUGACUCUGUUGAGAAAACGGCACCAAACUGACUCUGUUGAGAAAACGGCACCAAACUGACUCUGUUGAGAAAACGGCACCAAACUGACUCUGUUGAGAAUACGGCACCAAACUGACUCUGUUGAGAAAACGGCACCAAACUAACUCUGUUGAGAAAACGGCACCAAACUGACUCUGUUGAGAAAACGGCACCAAACUGACUCUGUUGAGAAAACGGCACCAAACUGACUCUGUUGAGAAAACGGCACCAAACUGACUCUGUUGAGAAAACAGAACAAUUUGAGAUAAUAUUGUUGUAAAACCAUAACCAUUUGAGAUCAGACACUGUUGUGAAUACAAAACACCCUUUGAAGACAGACAUUUGUGAAAACUGAACCCCCUGAAAACGGAACCCUUUAAAAACACUGUUGUGACAAGAUAAUCCUUUGAACAGACCUUUUUCCUUAUUUAUCCUGUUAGUAUUUUCUUGUGAUUUGUUUCAGUUCUGGUGAUCUAAAGAAGCAGACUAUCUGAAGCUGAAGACCAUCUCCAUCUGGACCUUAUCUGCAUUUGAAGACUGUCAAACAUCCACAUCAUUACAUUUAGUUAAUUUCCUUGCCAUUUUAUUGCUUAUUCAUAAUUUUAAUCCAACUUUCAUUUAUUAAAGACUGCAUAUUGCUUGUG